RNAcentral lists this ribosomal RNA (391 nucleotides) under uncultured bacterium. RNAcentral describes it as "partial 16S ribosomal RNA". It matches the Rfam family "Bacterial small subunit ribosomal RNA", at positions 523 to 918 of the family's 1533-position model. The record is from RNAcentral.
AUACGUAGGGGGCAAGCGUUAUCCGGAUUUACUGGGUGUAAAGGGAGCGUAGACGGUUUGGCAAGUCUGAUGUGAAAGCCCGGGGCUCAACCGCGGGACUGCAUUGGAAACUGGUAGACUUGAGUGCGGUAGAGGUAAGUGGAAUUCCAAGUGGAGCGGUGGAAUGCGUAGAUAUUUGGAGGAACACCAGUGGCGAAGGCGGCUUACUGGGCCGUUACUGACGCUGAGGCACGAAAGCGUGGGGAGCAAACAGGAUUAGAUACCCUGGUAGUCCACGCCGUAAACGAUGAGCACUAAGUGUCGGAUGAAUUUUCGGCGCUGCAGUUAACACAAUAAGUGCUCCGCCUGGGGAGUACGGUCGCAAGACUGAAACUUAAAUGAAUUGGCGGGG